Molecule: ribosomal RNA, 587 nt
Filed under: uncultured fungus
Lineage: Eukaryota; Fungi
Description: eukaryotic LSU rRNA
Rfam family: 5.8S ribosomal RNA (bases 223-376)
Source: RNAcentral
CUUGGUCAUUUAGAGGAAGUAAAAGUCGUAACAAGGUCUCCGUAGGUGAACCUGCGGAGGGAUCAUUACAAGUGACCCCGGCUACGGCCGGGAUGUUCAUAACCCUUUGUUGUCCGACUCUGUUGCCUCCGGGGCGACCCUGCCUUCGGGCGGGGGCUCCGGGUGGACACUUCAAACUCUUGCGUAACUUUGCAGUCUGAGUAAACUUAAUUAAUAAAUUAAAACUUUUAACAACGGAUCUCUUGGUUCUGGCAUCGAUGAAGAACGCAGCGAAAUGCGAUAAGUAAUGUGAAUUGCAGAAUUCAGUGAAUCAUCGAAUCUUUGAACGCACAUUGCGCCCCCUGGUAUUCCGGGGGGCAUGCCUGUUCGAGCGUCAUUUCACCACUCAAGCCUCGCUUGGUAUUGGGCAACGCGGUCCGCCGCGUGCCUCAAAUCGUCCGGCUGGGUCUUCUGUCCCCUAAGCGUUGUGGAAACUAUUCGCUAAAGGGUGUUCGGGAGGCUACGCCGUAAAACAACCCCAUUUCUAAGGUUGACCUCGGAUCAGGUAGGGAUACCCGCUGAACUUAAGCAUAUCAAUAAGCGGAGGA